Molecule: long non-coding RNA, 243 nt
Filed under: Gossypium barbadense (sea-island cotton)
Lineage: Eukaryota; Viridiplantae; Streptophyta; Magnoliopsida; Malvales; Malvaceae
Description: long non-coding RNA (GBAR_LNC016115)
Source: RNAcentral
UAGAGGCUCAUUGGGUUGGAAAUUUGGCGGAGAUCACUCACACUAUCCACCGGCCCAUUUCGGUACAAUUAUGAAACUAAUUUUGGUUAUAAUGGCAUGUGUAGGCUAACUUAGCCAUUGUUGGCAUUUUAAAUAUUUUGGUUGUAACAAGCCAUUGGUAUGACUUGUGUUUGGUACAUUUUAAAAUGUAUAUAUAUAUAUGGCCUUAACCAGUUUGAUGUGUGAAAUUGAAAUGGUUUAAUG